This 253-nucleotide ribosomal RNA is filed under the name uncultured bacterium. Its description in RNAcentral is "partial 16S ribosomal RNA". It matches the Rfam family "Bacterial small subunit ribosomal RNA", at positions 524 to 776 of the family's 1533-position model. The record is from RNAcentral.
UACGUAGGGGGCGAGCGUUGUCCGGAUUUAUUGGGCGUAAAGAGCGUGUAGGCGGCUAGGAAGGUCCGCUGUGAAAACUCGGGGCUCAACCCCGAGAGGUCGGUGGAAACCAUCUGGCUAGAGUCCGGAAGAGGAGAGUGGAAUUCCUGGUGUAGCGGUGAAAUGCGCAGAUAUCAGGAGGAACACCGGUGGCGAAGGCGGGUCUCUGGGCCGAAACUGACGCUGAGGAGCGAAAGCUAGGGGAGCAAACGGG